CGGGUUGUAAAGCACUUUCAGUCGUGAGGAAGGUGGUAGUGUUAAUAGCACUAUCAUUUGACGUUAGCGACAGAAGAAGCACCGGCAACUCCGUGCCAGCAGCGCGGUAUACGGAGGGUGCGAGCGUAAUCGGAAUUACUGGCGUAAAGACGCAUGCAGGUGGUUUGUUAAGGUUCAGAUGUGAAAGACCCGGGGCGUCAACCUCCGGAAUAGCAUUUGUAAACUAGGCAAACUAAGAGUAACUGUAGAGGGGGGUAGGGAAGUUUACUAGGUGUAGCGGUGAAAUAGCGUAGAGAUCUGAAGGAAUACCGGUGGCGAAGGCGGCCCCCUCGGACAGAUACUGACACUCAGAUGCGAAAGCGUGGGGAGCAAACAGGAUUAGAUACCCUGGUAG
This 394-nucleotide ribosomal RNA is filed under the name uncultured bacterium. Its description in RNAcentral is "bacterial SSU rRNA". It matches the Rfam family "Bacterial small subunit ribosomal RNA", at positions 419 to 793 of the family's 1533-position model. The record is from RNAcentral.